RNAcentral lists this ribosomal RNA (562 nucleotides) under uncultured bacterium. RNAcentral's name for it is "bacterial SSU rRNA". It matches the Rfam family "Bacterial small subunit ribosomal RNA", at positions 338 to 916 of the family's 1533-position model. The record is from RNAcentral.
CCUACGGGAGCAGCAGUGGGGAAUCUUGCGCAAUGGGCGAAAGCCUGACGCAGCAACGCCGCGUGCGGGAAGAAGGCUUUCGGGCUGUAAACCGCUUUCAGCAGGAACGAAAAUGACGGUACCUGCAGAAGAAGGAGCGGCCAACUAUGUGCCAGCAGCCGCGGUGAUACAUAGGCUUCAAGCGUUGUCCGGAUUUAUUGGGCGUAAAGAGUUCGUAGGCGGCCGAGUAAGUCGGGUGUGAAAAUUCUGGGCUCAACCCAGAGACGCCACCCGAUACUGCUUGACUUGAGUUCGAUAGGGGAGUGGGGAAUUCCUAGUGUAGCGGUGAAAUGCGCAGAUAUUAGGAGGAACACCGGUGGCGAAGGCGCCACUCUGGAUCGAUACUGACGCUGAGGAACGAAAGCAUGGGUAGCAAACAGGAUUAGAUACCCUGGUAGUCCAUGCCGUAAACGGUGGGCACUAGGUGUGGGUUUCUAUUAACGAAAUCCGCGCCGUCGCUAACGCAUUAAGUGCCCCGCCUGGGGAGUACGGUCGCAAGACUAAAACUCAAAGGAAUUGACGG